AGCUCUGUAAGCGUAUACCAAAGUUGUUGCAGUUAAAACGCUCGUAGUCGGACUUUGGCAGUUCCGGGAGUGUGCGCGUCGUGCGCACGCUUUGCGGGGACUGCUUUUGUGGUAAGGCGUGGGAUGAAGCAUUUAACUAUGAACGUCCCUUCGCCACCACUUUUUACUGUGAGAAAAUCAGAGUGCUCAAAGCAGGCAUUUGCCGUGAAUGUAUUAGCAUGGAAUAAUAGAAUAGGACUUGGUUCUAUUUUGUUGGUUUGUUGGAAUUGAGUAAUGAUUAAGAGGGACAGUUGGGGGUAUUUGUAUUUCGGCGUUAGAGGUGAAAUUCUUAGAUCGCCGAAAGACAAACUGCUGCGAAAGCGUCUACCAAGGAUGUUUUCA
Molecule: ribosomal RNA, 381 nt
Filed under: uncultured eukaryote
Lineage: Eukaryota
Description: SSU rRNA
Rfam family: Eukaryotic small subunit ribosomal RNA
Source: RNAcentral